UGCAAUUAUUUCCAGGAGCAAACCAAGGAC
This 30-nucleotide non-coding RNA is filed under the name Homo sapiens (human). Lineage: Eukaryota; Metazoa; Chordata; Mammalia; Primates; Hominidae. The record is from RNAcentral.